UGGCCUCGAAUCAGGUAAGGAUACCCGCUGAACUUAAGCAUAU
This 43-nucleotide ribosomal RNA is filed under the name Tuber brumale var. moschatum. RNAcentral's name for it is "partial 28S ribosomal RNA". The record is from RNAcentral. Lineage: Eukaryota; Fungi; Ascomycota; Pezizomycetes; Pezizales; Tuberaceae.